GAUGAACGCCGGCGGCGUGCUUAACACAUGCAAGUCGAACGAUUAAGACGGCUUCGGCCGUGUAUAGAGUGGCGAACGGGUGAGUAACACGUGACCAACCUGCCCCGCGCUCCGGGACAACCGCUGGAAACGGCGGCUAAUACCGGAUGCUCCGGGGAGGCCCCAUGGCCUCCCCGGGAAAGCCUUAACGGCGCGGGAUGGGGUCGCGGCCCAUUAGGUAGACGGCGGGGUAACGGCCCACCGUGCCCGCGAUGGGUAGCCGGACUGAGAGGUCGACCGGCCACAUUGGGACUGAGAUACGGCCCAGACUCCUACGGGAGGCAGCAGUGGGGAAUUUUGCGCAAUGGGGGAAACCCUGACGCAGCAACGCCGCGUGCGGGACGAAGGCCUUCGGGUUGUAAACCGCUUUCAGCAGGGAAGACAUAGACGGUAC
RNAcentral lists this ribosomal RNA (433 nucleotides) under uncultured bacterium. RNAcentral's name for it is "bacterial SSU rRNA". It matches the Rfam family "Bacterial small subunit ribosomal RNA", at positions 28 to 478 of the family's 1533-position model. The record is from RNAcentral.